ACGCUUGUGCAUCCUCAUUCGUGGGUUUGUAGCCAGAGUCCAAUGACCCCGCAGAGCUUGGUGGGCUGUAAUAAAGUUAAAACAAUCUACCUGCAAAGCUGCCUCCCACACAGACUCCAGGAUCAUUGAAGAAGGAGGGCAAGGAAGUGCUCCAGGCACCAGAGCAGAGAUUCUCCUGCUGCUAGUGGUGAAGACCACGGUGAGGCAGGAUGUGCUACUGCAGCCCAUGGAGCAGAUAACCAUCCUGCAGCCUGUGGAAGACCCCAUGUUGGAGCAGGUGGGUGCUCCCUGAAGGAAACUGUGAACCUAUGAAGAAAAAGCCCAUGCCGGAGCCGGCUCCUGACAGGACCUGUGACCCCAUGGAGAGGAGGCUAUGAUGAAGCAGGCUUUCUGGCAGGACCUGUGAUCCCAUCUGGGGACCCACACUGGAGCAGUCUGUUCCCUAAAGGACUGCAUCCCAUGGAAAAGACCCAUAGUGGAGCAGUUCAUGAAGAACUGCAAUCCAUGGGAAGGACCUAUAUUGUAUAGGUUUGUGAAAGACUGUCUCCCAUGGGAGGGACUCUAUGCUAGGGGAUGAGUAUGAGAACAAAGGUACGGCAGACAAAGCAUUAUGAGCUGACCUGAACCCCUAUUCCCCAUCCCUCUGCACUGCUUGGGAGGAGGAGAUAAAGAAGUCAAGAGUAAAGCUGAGCCUGGAAAGAAAGGACCAGUGUGGGAAAUGUGUUUUAAGAUUUGGUUUUAUUUCCUGUCAUCCUACUCUGUCCUUUUGAUUUGCAAUAAAUUAAAUUAAUUCCCCACACUGACUCUGUUUUGCCUGUGAUGGUUAUUACUGAGUCAUAUCCCUGUCCUUGUCUUGACCCACGAGCCUUUUGUCACAUCUCCUGUUGAGGCAGGGAAUUGGUAGGUGGGCACCUAUCAGGCUAGCCAAGGUCAACAUAGCAUAUUAUCACACCACCUUAAUAAAGUAAUAUAACUCUAGAUUCAUCUUAAUCCUGUGUGGAAAUUAACUUCUUCCAUAUUUUAAAGUAAAUUUGGCAGUUCUUCUUUGUCUGCAUUUAUUUUCAUUUUUUAGCUCAGGAAUGUUGUCACUGGGUCCUAUGUGUGCCUUGGACAUUUUUUUGAAAAACCAAAUAAUGUGAUUGUGAACAUGCCUCUAUGUUGUGGAUUUCUUCAGCACUCAGUACACUUAUUUUACACGAUACAGUCACACUUUUACAAUUAAUUCUCUUGAGUUCCCAGAAGUCCUCUCUUAUCCUUGCACAAAGAAUGAUUUUUCUCAGUCCAGAAAAGAAUCUAUUCAGUUUUACACUGAUGAGACAGCAGUGCUCUGCCACAGAACAGGACCUCACAGAAAUUCAGAUAGUAGUCCAACCCUUGAUUAUCUUGGUCUCUUUUGGAAGUCUAUUCUCUUGCAAGAGAAAAAGACCCUUGACCAUGACCUCGAGACCUCACUGUCUUAUCCUAAGAUUGGCUGCAUUUCCCGAGGAGGUUAGUACAGCUGUGUUUGUAGGCUCUCACUGUGGCUGAAGGAUACCGUCUUUUCUUCUUGGCACAGGCCAUUGUGUGAGUUCCCAUGAGACCUGACCUGAUGAUUUUUCAAUGUGACCUAGCAUUUUAAAUUCCCUUUUGCUCUACUAAAUAGACGUCUGAAAAUAUGAUUGAUCAAAUGUAAUUCUCUCUAACACACUCUUGUUAAAUGCUCUCAAGCCACUGCAGCAGCAGUACUUAUCCUUAGAACCCAGGAAGGGAGCAGAGUGCUGGUACUGCCCAUAUCCUGGGUCCCACUGGGACUUUGAGAAUGCAAAAUUCCUACAAGCUGCAGUUUAAGGAUGAGCUUUCUUGCCUCUGGGCUGAUGGCAACAGAGAGCAGAAAACUGGCUCUACAGUUAUCCUUUCCAGAGCUACACAAUAAAAGCACAAACAGAUUUCAUGCUGAAUUCCAGAUUGUUACUGAUUUUAAUCAACACUACAAGAAGUACACAGAUCUAUUAAAAAUAAAACUGUAAAUACUUCCCUGCUUCAUUCUCUCCAUCAGCUAACAUACCAGUUCUUCUUUUACUUCAAGACAAAGUCUUCUGGGAGGGAUGCAGAUCUGUUUCCUGCAGUUGACACAGCUUCUUUUCAAGCUUCUAUACUUGCUGCCCAUCCCUGUCGUUUCUAUAACGUUUAUCCUCAUAUGAAUUCUGUUCAAAAGUUUUGCUGUUUUAAAUACUUUUUUGCUUUUCUUCCCUCCUUCCCUGGUUCUUUACAAUUCUUUCCUGCUUAGGCAGCUCCUUUGCUAAUACAUUAAGGCCGUUCCACCAGAAUUGGAAAACUUUCUGGCCAACAUUAGUUCCUAGAUUGAGAGAGAUGAGAUGCAACGCUGACAGAAUGGUAGAUGGCAUAAACACUGGGUGCUCAGUGAAUCAGCAUCCUGUCUUGAGCCAGAAGUAUUAAAUAGUAAAUAAAAGGAUUUCUGAAGCCAUCAGGCCUGGGUAGGGAAAUAUAUCACCAAGAUCACAUUAUUAUUAUAAAAGGUCACUUUAGUUCACUUGUAAUUUUCAAACAUGCUAAAUUUUAAUUAGAAAAUUUGUGCAAAUCAAAGAAUUUUGUUGAAACUACCAUCAAAAUUGUGGAAUAAUUUUUAAGUGCCAGGUGGUCUCUUCAUUUAUAAAAAUAGGGGUUGUUUGUUGUUCAGUUUUUAACUUGUUUUAAUCACUUCUUGGAAUAGUUACAGAAAUUAAAAAUCAAUCAAGCCUAUUCCAGUCUUCCAUCUUGUGAAAACUAAGUACAGUUUCGCAAGUUACACCAAGUGUCAUAAACAUUGCCAUUUGCAUUAUAUGUGCAACAUACAUGCGGUCAAUAUGUCAUAUUAUGUUUUUUAUCAAUUUAUGUACAGCCACAUGUAUAGUCUUAGUCACUUACAGGAGGGCAAAACUAGCUGCCUGCCAGAUACCCACUAGCAGUACCAAUACAUUUUUUAAUAUAUGACAUUGCAAAGAAUAUUUAAUUGCAUAAACAAUGUGACAGAACUUCAAGUAGGUAGCCAAACAUAAAGGGCCAUUCUCAUGCACAGAAAGUUUGACUUAGAACAUUCUGUAUUUUGCAAUAUGCAGGCCUGUAACACUGUAUAGCAAUUAAUCCAAUUGCAUUUAUGGAAUCAGGACUGCUCAUCUAUUUUACUGAAAUAUAAAUUAAUACUAAAAUCACGCAGAUGUAGAAGUCAGACUUCAGGAGAUGUGCACAUGUAUUAAUGAAAUAACUUGGUCACUCAGUACAGAGCAUAGACCUGCAAAUGACUGAAAAUGAUAGAAUUUUUAUUUGCCAAACCUUUGAUCAAAAAUUAUAAUCAAAAGUUAAACUUCAAUCAGAGCACACAGAGCUUCAAAGGUGUAAAGUUAAAAACACCCUUUCUCAGUCACUCUUCUCUGUUGCACGCUAACCCUUUUUGGGAAUAACUCAUCACAUGAUCUUUUUUUUCAGAUGGAAUGCUGUUCCAACCUCUAUUAUAUUCUCUUCCCCAGUCC
Pseudopipra pipra is the source of this 3506-nucleotide long non-coding RNA. RefSeq lists it as uncharacterized. NCBI's taxonomy places the organism in Eukaryota, Metazoa, Chordata, Aves, Passeriformes, Pipridae. The transcript is spliced from 2 exons. The record is from RefSeq and is a predicted model, not a curated record.